Molecule: long non-coding RNA, 301 nt
Organism: Talpa occidentalis (Iberian mole)
Lineage: Eukaryota; Metazoa; Chordata; Mammalia; Eulipotyphla; Talpidae
Exons: 3
Source: RefSeq, a predicted model, not a curated record
CCCAAGGUCCUCAUCAGGGAAGACACGAAGAGUUGGGAUAUUUCAAGAAAAGCAAGAAGCAAUGGUCACAUGCUUGGGAGUUGGUGAAGGGAAUCCAUAGAAGACGGAAGACUUCUGGAGUCCACACUGAACCAGAAGCAUGGAGGUCAAAGGACACUCUGGUAAUUCAGAUAGGAGACAUUGAUGGCUUGAACUAAAGGAACACAGUGGAAAGAAGAAAAUAUAUUUGAAAGGUUCUGUGGGAGCUGGACAAGAAGAGAAGAAAAGAAAAGCACAGACACUGUAUCUCAAGAUGCUUUCC